RNAcentral lists this ribosomal RNA (63 nucleotides) under Streptomyces cavourensis. RNAcentral also lists the same sequence under 1 other name. The record is from RNAcentral. Lineage: Bacteria; Bacillati; Actinomycetota; Actinomycetes; Kitasatosporales; Streptomycetaceae.
CCUGACGACCAUAGCAAGGUGGUACCACUCCUUCCCAUCCCGAACAGGACAGUGAAACGCCUU